Long non-coding RNA from Oncorhynchus tshawytscha (Chinook salmon), 450 nucleotides. The record is from Ensembl. Lineage: Eukaryota; Metazoa; Chordata; Actinopteri; Salmoniformes; Salmonidae.
GGGGCGGCAGGGUAGUCUAGUGGUUAGAGUGGAGGGGCGGCAGGCUAGCCUAGUGGUUAGAGGGGAGGGGCGGCAGGGUAGCCUAGUGGUUAGAGUGGAGGGGUGGCAGGGUAGCCUAGUGGUUAGAGUGGAGGGGCGGCAGGGUAGCCUAGUGGUUAGAGUGGAGGGGUGGCAGGGUAGCCUAGUGGUUAGAGUGAAGGGGCGGCAGGGUAGCCUAGUGGUUAGAGUGGAGGGGCGGCAGGGUAGUCUAGUGGUUAGAGUGGAGGGGCGGCAGGGUAGCCUAGUGGUUAGAGUGUUGGACUAGUGACCGGAAGGUUGCAAGUUCAAACCCCCGAGCUGACAAGGUACAAAUCUGUCGUUCUGCCCCUGAACAGGCAGUUAACCCACUGUUCCCAGGCCGUCAUUGAAAAUAAGAAUUUGUUCUUAACUGACUUGCCUCGUUAAAUAAAG